GGGAUAAGUAGCAUUUAAUUAUUCCCUCUUCCCUAGCUGACGAUGGAUUGUUCCAUUGUUUAAGUGCAAUGAAAGAAAGCAAGUUUGGAAAUAAUCCUAGAAUGAGAGGAAAAAAAUAGGUAUUCAGAGUGAUAAAAAGAAAAUACAAGCAGUUUGCUGUUUAAAUUUACCUGGUACCUACCCUGUCUUUGACCUAAGAAGAGAGUAUUGUUAGCCUCUGCUACUCACCCAAUUUAGAGACCCUUUUCUCCUCUCAUCCUAGAUCAGGUUCCCAAGUAAAGAUGCUGAAAAAAUGUAGGGAAAUUUGGGUUAUAUUCUAAUCACAGAAAAUGUAUUAGCUAUGUGAUCUUAAGCAAGUUAUCUUAUCCCUGUUUAUGUUAGUUUUCUGAUCUGUGAAGAGGAAAAUAAUCAUUGCAUCCAUCCACCAGAAUUGUUAUAAGGAUCAAAUGAUUGUGAAGUGCUUAAUGAAGUAACUAGCAUAUGUUUCCCUUGAGUAAAAAUACAGACUCAAAGCCAAGCUCACCCCAGGCAGCUUUCUGCUGCCAAUCUCACCAUUCUGAGCUUUCCAUGUGCAGAUGCAACCACUCGAGACUGCAAAGGACUUACUGGAGCCUCACCACAAUUCUGCAAAGAAGGCAAUAGAGGUCAAAGAAAGUAAAGAGUUAGGGGAGAAGAAGGAAGCCAAAGAAAGCACUUAAUAAAGAUAAGAUCUGGAUACCAAAAAAGUUAAAUGUUGCAGUUCUUCCUGAAGAA
This 753-nucleotide long non-coding RNA is filed under the name Monodelphis domestica (gray short-tailed opossum). RNAcentral describes it as "lncRNA (ENSMODG00000030155.2)". The record is from RNAcentral. Lineage: Eukaryota; Metazoa; Chordata; Mammalia; Didelphimorphia; Didelphidae.